UGAGUGCAGAAGAGGACAGUGGAACUCCCAUGUGUAGCGGUGGAAUGCGUAGAUAUAUGGAAGAACACCAGUGGCGAAGGCGGCUGUCUAGUCUGUAACUGACGCUGAGGCUCGAAAGCAUGGGUAGCGAACAGGAUUAGAUACCCUGGUAGUCCAUGCCGUAAACGAUGAGUGCUAAGUGUUGGAGGGUUUCCGCCCUUCAGUGCUGCAGCUAACGCAUUAAGCACUCCGCCUGGGGAGUACGACCGCAAGGUUGAAACUCAAAGGAAUUGACGGGGGCCCGCACAAGCGGUGGAGCAUGUGGUUUAAUUCGAAGCUACGCGAAGAACCUUACCAGGUCUUGACAUCUUCUGCCAAUCUUAGAGAUAAGACGUUCCCUUCGGGGACAGAAUGACAGGUGGUGCAUGGUUGUCGUCAGCUCGUGUCGUGAGAUGUUGGGUUAAGUCCCGCAACGAGCGCAACCCUUAUUAUCAGUUGCCAGCAUUCAGUUGGGCACUCUGGUGAGACUGCCGGUGACAAACCGGAGGAAGGUGGGGAUGACGUCAAAUCAUCAUGCCCCUUAUGACCUGGGCUACACACGUGCUACAAUGGACGGUACAACGAGUUGCGAAGUCGUGAGGCUAAGCUAAUCUCUUAAAGCCGUUCUCAGUUCGGAUUGUAGGCUGCAACUCGCCUACAUGAAGUUGGAAUCGCUAGUAAUCGCGGAUCAGCAUGCCGCGGUGAAUACGUUCCCGGGCCUUGUACACACCGCCCGUCACACCAUGAGAGUUUGUAACACCCAAAGCCGGUGAGAUAACCUUCGGGAGUCAGCCGUCUAAGGUGGGACAGAUGAUUAGGGUGAAGUCGUAACAAGGUAGCCGUA
This 862-nucleotide ribosomal RNA is filed under the name uncultured bacterium. RNAcentral's name for it is "bacterial SSU rRNA". It matches the Rfam family "Bacterial small subunit ribosomal RNA", at positions 642 to 1504 of the family's 1533-position model. The record is from RNAcentral.